CAAAAAAAAAAAAGAGGAAAAAAAAUGACAAAGUCAUUCACUCUCGUCGCUCUCCUAUGCAUCUGCUUGCUUCUCCAUUCUCCAACUGGAUUGAAAGUAGCGGAGGCGAAGAUAUGUCAAAGGUACAGCCAAACGUGGUCGGGGAGGUGCACGCAGACGAGCCACUGCGACCGCCAAUGUAUCAACUGGGAAGACGCUCGCCAUGGAGCAUGCCAUCAGGACAAACGUGGCCGCGCUUGUUUCUGUUAUUUCAACUGCAAGAAUUAAUCCCCAGUUUGUGAUUCUCUCUUGCUGUUUUGCAUUGUCUUUGGUCUUACGUUUUGUUGUUUCGUCGAAAUAAUAUAUAAAUAUGUUAUGGACGAUGUGUUGUUGUAUUAUGAUCCAUAGGCGUCUCUUGGCGUCAUGACUGUUUUAAAAUUAAUGAUCAUCCAAUAAUUGUUUGACUUUUA
Molecule: long non-coding RNA, 449 nt
Organism: Capsella rubella
Lineage: Eukaryota; Viridiplantae; Streptophyta; Magnoliopsida; Brassicales; Brassicaceae
Exons: 2
Source: RefSeq, a predicted model, not a curated record